AGUCUGACCCUAAGUUGUUGUAGGUCUACAUCAGGGUGAACUGCCUUUAUAAUUCAUGACUGUGUAGUUAGAAAUUAGAGGCAUGGGAAAUGGAUAAGGUGAGACUGAAUAAAAAAGAAGAAAGGAAAUAAAGAUCUUAUCAGUUCACAUGUAACAUUUUUUCUCUCUCUCUGUGGAGAACAUGUAAUUAAAGAAAAUUACUAAAUUUCUGACCUAAGUAACAAGCCAAGCUAAUCUGCGUGUGAGUCACAUAUAAAACACUUUGCAUGCGCUGCACCUGAGCUGACCUGUGAUGUAACUCGUGACCUAUUUCUUCAAAAGGGAUGAUGUUUUGAAUCAUUGUAGUCUCAGAGUGCUGGUAAUAACGCUGCUAAACGACAAACAUAAUAAUAGUAAUUUCUGAUCUUAAAACUCAUCCUUGUCUGUUUUAAUUGUCUAACAUUAGAUGCAAGGCUGGUGUCUGACAAUGCUUCAGUUGAUUCAUACCAGUGGUUUAUACUGUAGGUCUCAUCACACUUCAGCUUCCGCAACAAAGAAGAAAGGGAAAAAAAAGAGGAGAGAAAGUGUAGUAGCUGUAUGGGCUAAUGUGACUCUGUUGGUUAUGUUUGUUUUCCUCUAGGGGAAUUACAUUUGAGCGAUGCAGUGCCCAGUGUAAAUAAAAGUAAUCUGGACCAAUCAUAGCUGUUGAAGUAUGUCAUGCUAAUCAUUUAUGCGGCAUAGCAUUUCCAUUCAAUAACUCAGGCCAAAAAAGCAAAGAUCUGCUCACCUGGCUUUUGUUACGCAAUUUGUGUUCAAGUUCCUCACAGGUGACAAGUGCAGGAAAGAUACGAUUCUUAUAAAAUGCCUUAUAUGUUGACAAAACAUUUAAAAACACUCAGUAUUGACAUUAGCUCAACGUAUUCGUAUUUGGGAAAGAGACGUCCAAAUGAUUGAAAUACUGGCCUUCUGUUUGGCAGCUUUAUUGCCUUGUUUCAGUAUUUAUUGUUGAGAGAGUCACUAUCUUUCUAUGUGUCAUGAUCCUUGUGUGUUAGUCUGUUUUUUGUGGGUGUGUGAGUUCUCUUCCUGAAGGGAGGAUCUUUGCCGGAGGGAGUGGCUGACAGGUGGCAGACAGAACACCUGGCUGCAAUCCAGAUCAUCUGACUGCUGAAAAUAUAAGGAGCUGCAAGACGAUCACUCAUGGCUUGGUGAGCAAUAAGUUGUCCUACCAGCCCUGGAUUCCUCCUCCAAACUCCACUGUUAGAUUAUUCCCAGAAUCUCCUUCUCUCCACGGCUGUUCACGGCAGUUCCUUUGGGUUCGGGUUCCCACAGCCCACCCACUCUCCGGUUUUCUGCUCACUCCCUCCAAAGCAGGCAGGUAUAAGCUCAGUAAGCAAAUGGAGCCCUUGAAAGGGUUUUAAGAAACAGAAAAAAAAUGUCAGUGGGAGAAAAAACUCUGGCAAACUGGUGACAAACCCGACCGACUCAAGUAACUGUCCUAAAAAAAAAUCAGAGCUCAAAAAUGGGUAACCCCAAAAGCAGAUGAGGUCAUUAGACAAAUGCAAUAGUUGUUGUUAGCUGGGAUGCCCUGAGCCAGUAUGUUAUCGCCACAGGGUUUAACAAAUCUCCAUAUGUCCACAUUUGCUAGUUAAACACACAUGCUGUCAUAGGGUGUCCUAAUUUUUCAGCAUGACACUAUAAAUGGCAUUUAUUUUACUGAGAAACAAUGAUUGGGGCAAUACCAGUUUUUACUAUUCUGUUUUGUUCUACUUAAUACCAUCUGUAAAAAAAAAAAA
Molecule: long non-coding RNA, 1772 nt
Organism: Fundulus heteroclitus (mummichog)
Lineage: Eukaryota; Metazoa; Chordata; Actinopteri; Cyprinodontiformes; Fundulidae
Exons: 2
Source: RefSeq, a predicted model, not a curated record